UUAAGCGACUAAGCGUACACGGUGGAUGCCCUGGCAGUCAGAGGCGAUGAAGGACGUGCUAAUCUGCGAUAAGCGUCGGUAAGGUGAUAUGAACCGUUAUAACCGGCGAUUUCCGAAUGGGGAAACCCAGUGUGAUUCGUCACACUAUCAUUAACUGAAUCCAUAGGUUAAUGAGGCGAACCGGGGGAACUGAAACAUCUAAGUACCCCGAGGAAAAGAAAUCAACCGAGAUUCCCCCAGUAGCGGCGAGCGAACGGGGAGCAGCCCAGAGUCUGAAUCAGUGUGUGUGUUAGUGGAAGCGUCUGGAAAGGCGCGCGAUACAGGGUGACAGCCCCGUACACAAAAAUGCACAUGCUGUGAGCUCGAUGAGUAGGGCGGGACACGUGGUAUCCUGUCUGAAUAUGGGGGGACCAUCCUCCAAGGCUAAAUACUCCUGACUGACCGAUAGUGAACCAGUACCGUGAGGGAAAGGCGAAAAGAACCCCGGCGAGGGGAGUGAAAAAGAACCUGAAACCGUGUACGUACAAGCAGUGGGAGCACGCUUAGGCGUGUGACUGCGUACCUUUUGUAUAAUGGGUCAGCGACUUAUAUUCUGUAGCAAGGUUAACCGAAUAGGGGAGCCGAAGGGAAACCGAGUCUUAACUGGGCGUUAAGUUGCAGGGUAUAGACCCGAAACCCGGUGAUCUAGCCAUGGGCAGGUUGAAGGUUGGGUAACACUAACUGGAGGACCGAACCGACUAAUGUUGAAAAAUUAGCGGAUGACUUGUGGCUGGGGGUGAAAGGCCAAUCAAACCGGGAGAUAGCUGGUUCUCCCCGAAAGCUAUUUAGGUAGCGCCUCGUGAAUUCAUCUCCGGGGGUAGAGCACUGUUUCGGCAAGGGGGUCAUCCCGACUUACCAACCCGAUGCAAACUGCGAAUACCGGAGAAUGUUAUCACGGGAGACACACGGCGGGUGCUAACGUCCGUCGUGAAGAGGGAAACAACCCAGACCGCCAGCUAAGGUCCCAAAGUCAUGGUUAAGUGGGAAACGAUGUGGGAAGGCCCAGACAGCCAGGAUGUUGGCUUAGAAGCAGCCAUCAUUUAAAGAAAGCGUAAUAGCUCACUGGUCGAGUCGGCCUGCGCGGAAGAUGUAACGGGGCUAAACCAUGCACCGAAGCUGCGGCAGCGACGCUUAUGCGUUGUUGGGUAGGGGAGCGUUCUGUAAGCCUGUGAAGGUGUGCUGUGAGGCAUGCUGGAGGUAUCAGAAGUGCGAAUGCUGACAUAAGUAACGAUAAAGCGGGUGAAAAGCCCGCUCGCCGGAAGACCAAGGGUUCCUGUCCAACGUUAAUCGGGGCAGGGUGAGUCGACCCCUAAGGCGAGGCCGAAAGGCGUAGUCGAUGGGAAACAGGUUAAUAUUCCUGUACUUGGUGUUACUGCGAAGGGGGGACGGAGAAGGCUAUGUUGGCCGGGCGACGGUUGUCCCGGUUUAAGCGUGUAGGCUGGUUUUCCAGGCAAAUCCGGAAAAUCAAGGCUGAGGCGUGAUGACGAGGCACUACGGUGCUGAAGCAACAAAUGCCCUGCUUCCAGGAAAAGCCUCUAAGCAUCAGGUAACAUCAAAUCGUACCCCAAACCGACACAGGUGGUCAGGUAGAGAAUACCAAGGCGCUUGAGAGAACUCGGGUGAAGGAACUAGGCAAAAUGGUGCCGUAACUUCGGGAGAAGGCACGCUGAUAUGUAGGUGAAGUCCCUCGCGGAUGGAGCUGAAAUCAGUCGAAGAUACCAGCUGGCUGCAACUGUUUAUUAAAAACACAGCACUGUGCAAACACGAAAGUGGACGUAUACGGUGUGACGCCUGCCCGGUGCCGGAAGGUUAAUUGAUGGGGUUAGCGCAAGCGAAGCUCUUGAUCGAAGCCCCGGUAAACGGCGGCCGUAACUAUAACGGUCCUAAGGUAGCGAAAUUCCUUGUCGGGUAAGUUCCGACCUGCACGAAUGGCGUAAUGAUGGCCAGGCUGUCUCCACCCGAGACUCAGUGAAAUUGAACUCGCUGUGAAGAUGCAGUGUACCCGCGGCAAGACGGAAAGACCCCGUGAACCUUUACUAUAGCUUGACACUGAACAUUGAGCCUUGAUGUGUAGGAUAGGUGGGAGGCUUUGAAGUGUGGACGCCAGUCUGCAUGGAGCCGACCUUGAAAUACCACCCUUUAAUGUUUGAUGUUCUAACGUGGACCCGUAAUCCGGGUUGCGGACAGUGUCUGGUGGGUAGUUUGACUGGGGCGGUCUCCUCCUAAAGAGUAACGGAGGAGCACGAAGGUUGGCUAAUCCUGGUCGGACAUCAGGAGGUUAGUGCAAUGGCAUAAGCCAGCUUGACUGCGAGCGUGACGGCGCGAGCAGGUGCGAAAGCAGGUCAUAGUGAUCCGGUGGUUCUGAAUGGAAGGGCCAUCGCUCAACGGAUAAAAGGUACUCCGGGGAUAACAGGCUGAUACCGCCCAAGAGUUCAUAUCGACGGCGGUGUUUGGCACCUCGAUGUCGGCUCAUCACAUCCUGGGGCUGAAGUAGGUCCCAAGGGUAUGGCUGUUCGCCAUUUAAAGUGGUACGCGAGCUGGGUUUAGAACGUCGUGAGACAGUUCGGUCCCUAUCUGCCGUGGGCGCUGGAGAACUGAGGGGGGCUGCUCCUAGUACGAGAGGACCGGAGUGGACGCAUCACUGGUGUUCGGGUUGUCAUGCCAAUGGCACUGCCCGGUAGCUAAAUGCGGAAGAGAUAAGUGCUGAAAGCAUCUAAGCACGAAACUUGCCCCGAGAUGAGUUCUCCCUGACCCUUUAAGGGUCCUGAAGGAACGUUGAAGACGACGACGUUGAUAGGCCGGGUGUGUAAGCGCAGCGAUGCGUUGAGCUAACCGGUACUAAUGAACCGUGAGGCUUAACCUU
RNAcentral lists this ribosomal RNA (2902 nucleotides) under Escherichia coli. RNAcentral describes it as "bacterial LSU rRNA". It matches the Rfam family "Bacterial large subunit ribosomal RNA". Lineage: Bacteria; Pseudomonadati; Pseudomonadota; Gammaproteobacteria; Enterobacterales; Enterobacteriaceae. The record is from RNAcentral.